Molecule: ribosomal RNA, 864 nt
Filed under: uncultured bacterium
Lineage: Bacteria
Description: bacterial SSU rRNA
Rfam family: Bacterial small subunit ribosomal RNA
Source: RNAcentral
CACAUGCAGUCGAACGGAGCUGAGAGGAGCUUGCUUUUCUUAGCUUAGUGGCGAACGGGUGAGUAACGCGUGAGUAACCUGCCCUGGAGUGGGGGACAACAGUUGGAAACGACUGCUAAUACCGCAUAAGCCCACGGAUCCGCAUGGAUCUGCGGGAAAAGGAUUUAUUCGCUUCAGGAUGGACUCGCGUCCAAUUAGCUAGUUGGUGAGGUAACGGCCCACCAAGGCGACGAUUGGUAGCCGGACUGAGAGGUUGAACGGCCACAUUGGGACUGAGACACGGCCCAGACUCCUACGGGAGGCAGCAGUGGGGGAUAUUGCACAAUGGGGGAAACCCUGAUGCAGCGACGCCGCGUGGAGGAAGAAGGUUUUCGGAUUGUAAACUCCUGUCGUUAGGGACGAUAAUGACGGUACCUAACAAGAAAGCACCGGCUAACUACGUGCCAGCAGCCGCGGUAAAACGUAGGGUGCAAGCGUUGUCCGGAAUUACUGGGUGUAAAGGGAGCGCAGGCGGGAAGACAAGUUGGAAGUGAAAACCAUGGGCUCAACCCAUGAAUUGCUUUCAAAACUGUUUUUCUUGAGUAGUGCAGAGGUAGAUGGAAUUCCCGGUGUAGCGGUGGAAUGCGUAGAUAUCGGGAGGAACACCAGUGGCGAAGGCGGUCUGCUGGGCACCAACUGACGCUGAGGCUCGAAAGCAUGGGUAGCAAACAGGAUUAGAUACCCUGGUAGUCCAUGCCGUAAACGAUGAAUGCUAGGUGUAGGGGGGUAUCGACCCCUUCUGUGCCGCAGUCAACACAAUAAGCAUUCCGCCUGGGGAGUACGGCCGCAAGGUUGAAACUCAGAGGAAUUGACGGGGGCCCGCAC